RNAcentral lists this long non-coding RNA (505 nucleotides) under Brassica rapa (field mustard). Its description in RNAcentral is "long non-coding RNA (BRAP_LNC006365)". The record is from RNAcentral. Lineage: Eukaryota; Viridiplantae; Streptophyta; Magnoliopsida; Brassicales; Brassicaceae.
ACCGGCACUGCCUGAGUAUAGUUAGUCUGAGCUGUUUAGAUAUGGUAUAUGUAUCUAUUUUUAGUUAAAAAUCUUACUCGUAGGUCGUUGCAUAGACCGAAGUCGUUGAAUUCCAUUUAAUACUCGUUUAAAUAUUGAUUAUGAUAGAUUUUUUUUUUUUUUUGUCGUCAACUUUACAGACUCAUAUAGACUCUGUAAACCAAGCCGGAAGAUAUUGAUCCAUGUGAACGACGAAAGACGGCUGAAUCCUAACACUGCGUGCUAGGCUAUCCGCCUUUGUAUUCUGCGCUCUUGGUACAUGGACGAUCUCUGAUUGUAGGAAACUUGCUCUCAGACUUUUGAUGUCUUCCAAAUAACUUGCAAACGCUGGCCACUCUUCUGGUUCCGAAACCAUCUUCACCAAUUGAGAACAAUCCGUUGCAAACGUAACCUGAGAUUGACGUAAAUUCCUCAUACAUUCCAUAGCCCAUAGUAGUGCUUCCAUCUCCGCAUGUAGAGGAGAAAG